RNAcentral lists this unclassified non-coding RNA (229 nucleotides) under plant metagenome. RNAcentral describes it as "partial contains small subunit ribosomal RNA, internal transcribed spacer 1, and 5.8S ribosomal RNA". The record is from RNAcentral.
UCUCCGUAGGUGAACCUGCGGAGGGAUCAUUACAGAGUUCAUGCCCUACCGGGUAGAUCUCCCACCCUAUGUUAUUAUUACUUUGUUGCUUUGGCGGGCCGUUAGGCUCCGGCCCGACUACCGGCCCCGGCUGGUAAGCGCCCGCCAGAGGACCCAAAACCCUGAAUAUUAGUGUCGUCUGAGUACUAUAUAAUAGUUAAACCUUUCAACAACGGAUCUCUUGGUUCUG